CGGGGGUGUAGCUCAAUUGGUUAGAGCAUCGGACUGUCGAUCCGAAGGUUGCGGGUUCGAGCCCCGUCACCCUCGCUUG
RNAcentral lists this transfer RNA (79 nucleotides) under Phycisphaera mikurensis NBRC 102666. Its description in RNAcentral is "tRNA-Asp". It matches the Rfam family "tRNA". From Rfam's summary of the family: Transfer RNA (tRNA) molecules are approximately 80 nucleotides in length. Their secondary structure includes four short double-helical elements and three loops (D, anti-codon, and T loops). Lineage: Bacteria; Pseudomonadati; Planctomycetota; Phycisphaerae; Phycisphaerales; Phycisphaeraceae. The record is from RNAcentral.